Long non-coding RNA from Tachysurus fulvidraco (yellow catfish), 1021 nucleotides. RefSeq lists it as uncharacterized. The transcript is spliced from 3 exons. Lineage: Eukaryota; Metazoa; Chordata; Actinopteri; Siluriformes; Bagridae. The record is from RefSeq and is a predicted model, not a curated record.
GUUUCCUGUCAGCUCUGUGGUCGGUCUUGUUUUGCCUGCCUGCACUCUAAAAAUGAUUUGUUGUUUGAAAAACCAUUACUUAUAAAAAUAAAUAAACUAAACACAAAUAACAAAGUAAGUUUAACUUUUCAACCUCUACUUAGCAUAUAUAGUGUCGGUAACAUAAAUAUAUAAGUUACAAGGUGAACCUAAGUGUAUGCCUAAAUAUAAUGAAAAAACAUAAGUCACGUCAACUAGUAUUAAAAUUGCAACUUAGUUUAAUUGCAAAUUAAAGCUAAGUAAUUAUAACAAUAUUUUAAGUAUAUGACUGGGCCAUGUGAUAUGCAAAUCUGGAAAAAACUGCAUCCAUCUGGUGAUGCACAUGUGAAGACGGUGGAAAGAGUGUUAGCUGAAGAUAUUUUCUGAAACGCAAAGAGGCGAAGACGCUGAAAAGAGUUCAGAGCAAGAAAGUGUUGAAAAAGGGGCAGCAUGAAGGAAGUGUCCUGUUUGAAGUGAUCUUUCAUUUGUUAAUGUGACACAUUUGUUGUACAUUCAUGAUGUGUGGUUUUAGGCUUCACCAUUGCAUUGCAGCCUGUUUCAAAAAAUAAAGUGAAAUGCUUUAUUUUGUGUAAUUUGCAUGUGUAAUUUAUUUUAGUGAAGUGACAUGGUGACCCAUACCUGUACUUGGAAUUUGUGCUCUGUGUUUAACCCAUCCAAGCAGCAGUGCAAUAUGCAGACCAAUAGCUGAUAAUCUACAAUAAGUUACAAUUUUACAUUGGUUCAACUCAAUUAAUUCUUUUUUUUUUUAACAUAAAUGAGCUUAAAUUUUAAGAUAACUUGCAAUUACUUUGUAGAUUCUAUCAUCUUACAUAUAUUUUUAAAUAAACAAUGUUGUGUGUACCCAAAAAUUUAAGUACAUAACAACAGUUUUCUUGUUAAUUUUAAGUACUUUUUUUCCAAGUUGGGUUUACUUAAAAAGUGUGAUGCAAAAAUGGUGCAUACAUAUUUUAAGUAUAUCCAACACAUCAUUUUUUACAGUGUG